RNAcentral lists this ribosomal RNA (292 nucleotides) under uncultured eukaryote. RNAcentral describes it as "partial 18S ribosomal RNA". It matches the Rfam family "Eukaryotic small subunit ribosomal RNA", at positions 6 to 301 of the family's 1831-position model. The record is from RNAcentral.
GGUUGAUCCUGCCAGUAGUCAUAUGCUUGUCUCAAAGAUUAAGCCAUGCAUGUCUAAGUACAAACCUUAGUAUGGUGAAACCGCGAAUGGCUCAUUAAAUCAGUUACGGUUCAUUGGAUGUUGAGCAAUUACAUGGAUAACUGUGGUAAUUCUAGAGCUAAUACAUGCCGAAAAGCCGCGCAAGCGGUGCAUUUAUUAGACCAAGACCAAGGGGGCAGCAAUGUCUCUGUCGGUGGUGACUCUGGAUAACUUUCGCUGACCGCAUGGCCUUGUGCCGGCGGUAUAUCCUUCG